CAGCAGCCGCGGUAAUACGGAGGGCGCGAGCGUUGUCCGGAUUCACUGGGCGUAAAGCGGGUGUAGGCGGUCGGGUAAGUCGGACGUGAAAGCCCGGGGCUCAACCCCGGAAGGGCGUCCGAAACUGCUCGACUUGAGGGCGGGAGAGGGAGGUGGAAUUCCCGGUGUAGCGGUGAAAUGCGUAGAGAUGUGGAGGAACACCAGUGGCGAAGGCGGCUCUCUGGUCUGUAACUGACGCUGAGGCGCGAAAGCGUGGGGAGCAAACAGGAUUAGAUACCCUGGUAGUCCACGCCGUAAACGAUGAGUGCUAAGUGUUAGAGGGGUUAAACCCUUUAGUGCUGUAGCUAACGCGUUAAGCACUCCGCCUGGGGAGUACGGCCGCAAGGCUGAAACUUAAAGGAAUUGGCGGG
This 410-nucleotide ribosomal RNA is filed under the name uncultured microorganism. RNAcentral's name for it is "bacterial SSU rRNA". It matches the Rfam family "Bacterial small subunit ribosomal RNA", at positions 509 to 917 of the family's 1533-position model. The record is from RNAcentral.